This 250-nucleotide ribosomal RNA is filed under the name uncultured bacterium. RNAcentral describes it as "partial 16S ribosomal RNA". It matches the Rfam family "Bacterial small subunit ribosomal RNA", at positions 524 to 773 of the family's 1533-position model. The record is from RNAcentral.
UACGUAGGGUGCGAGCGUUAAUCGGAAUUACUGGGCGUAAAGCGUGCGCAGGCGGUUCGUUAAGUUCGAUGUGAAAGCCCCGGGCUCAACCUGGGAAUGGCAUUGAAAACUGGCGGGCUUGAGUCUGGCAGAGGGGGGUGGAAUUCCGCGUGUAGCAGUGAAAUGCGUAGAGAUGCGGAGGAACACCGAUGGCGAAGGCAGCCCCCUGGGCCAAGACUGACGCUCAGGCACGAAAGCGUGGGGAGCAAAC